This 201-nucleotide unclassified non-coding RNA is filed under the name Hevea brasiliensis (rubber tree). Lineage: Eukaryota; Viridiplantae; Streptophyta; Magnoliopsida; Malpighiales; Euphorbiaceae. The record is from RNAcentral.
ACACAAUAAAUAGAAAAAAAUUUAAAAUAGGAUCCGUUCUGAAUUUGAUAUCAUGUUUGUGCAAAAUGGAAAAAAUAAUUAAUGUCUUAGGUUAACUAAUUAACCUAACGCAUGCAAAUCAAAAUUGAUGUCACUGUAAAAACAUUUUGUAUAGACAAUAUAUAUGUAAAUUCCUACUUUUUUUUUUUUAUUUUAAGCAAA